RNAcentral lists this ribosomal RNA (483 nucleotides) under uncultured bacterium. RNAcentral's name for it is "partial 16S ribosomal RNA". It matches the Rfam family "Bacterial small subunit ribosomal RNA", at positions 28 to 507 of the family's 1533-position model. The record is from RNAcentral.
GACGAACGCUGGCGGCGUGCUUAACACAUGCAAGUCGAACGCUGAAGCUCAGCUUUUGUUGGGUGGAUGAGUGGCGAACGGGUGAGUAACACGUGAGUAACCUGCCCCCUUCUUUGGGAUAACGCCCGGAAACGGGUGCUAAUACUGGAUAUUCACUGGUCUUCGCAUGGGGGUUGGUGGAAGGGGUUUUUCUGGUGGGGGAUGGGCUCGCGGCCUAUCAGCUUGUUGGUGGGGUGAUGGCCUACCAAGGCUUUGACGGGUAGCCGGCCUGAGAGGGUGACCGGUCACAUUGGGACUGAGAUACGGCCCAGACUCCUACGGGAGGCAGCAGUGGGGAAUAUUGCACAAUGGGCGCAAGCCUGAUGCAGCGACGCCGCGUGAGGGAUGGAGGCCUUCGGGUUGUGAACCUCUUUCGCUCAUGGUCAAGCCGCAACAAUGGUUGUGGUGAGGGUAGUGGGUAAAGAAGCGCCGGCUAACUACGUG